GGAUGUGAGGAAGAUCUGGCUAUGACAUCUGUCACCCCAUUGACCACCAGGGUCGAUUCAGCUGAUCUGGCUGGCUAGGUAGAGGAUGUCCCCUACCUCCCUCACCUCUCCACGUGUGUCUUUCCUGAAGUUGUGUGCUCAGUACAAGAAGACGAUUUUCCCCAAUGAGGGUGUACCGUUCUUCUGUCAGUAAUAUAUCAGUAGUUGGGCUCUCCUGCUAGAACAAACUGCCAAGGUUCAUUUGUAGAAGAACAUAGGUAGUCAAGCUUUCAAGACUCCGUAUCCAUCCAAAUGAGGCCCUACACAUGACAGUCUACCUUCUCUU
Molecule: small nuclear RNA, 325 nt
Filed under: Notamacropus eugenii (tammar wallaby)
Lineage: Eukaryota; Metazoa; Chordata; Mammalia; Diprotodontia; Macropodidae
Description: 7SK RNA (ENSMEUG00000016931.1)
Rfam family: 7SK RNA
About the family: 7SK was discovered as an abundant small nuclear RNA in the mid-70s but a possible function has only recently been suggested. Two independent studies have found that 7SK RNA binds the CDK9/cyclin T complex (known as elongation factor P-TEFb). P-TEFb activates transcription by phosphorylating the C-terminal domain of RNA polymerase II.
Source: RNAcentral